AAUUUAUUGAUAAUAUUUUGAUAUUUUUAGAUUCUAAUUCUAAUGCAUUUAUUUGCUAAAAUUAUUAAAAUUUCU
RNAcentral lists this transfer RNA (75 nucleotides) under Eratigena saeva. RNAcentral describes it as "tRNA-Leu". Lineage: Eukaryota; Metazoa; Arthropoda; Arachnida; Araneae; Agelenidae. RNAcentral also lists the same sequence under 1 other name. The record is from RNAcentral.